CUCCAGUUGAUCGCAUGGUCUUCUGGGAAAGCUUUCGCGGUAUGGGAUGGGGUCGCGUCCUAUCAGCUUGACGGCGGGGUAACGGCCCACCGUGGCGUCGACGGGUAGCCGGCCUGAGAGGGCGACCGGCCACAUUGGGACUGAGAUACGGCCCAGACUCCUACGGGAGGCAGCAGUGGGGAAUAUUGCACAAUGGGCGCAAGCCUGAUGCAGCGACGCCGCGUGAGGGAUGGAGGCCUUCGGGUUGUAAACCUCUUUUAUCGGGGAGCAAGCGAGAGUGAGUUUACCCGUUGAAUAAGCACCGGCUAACUACGUGCCAGCAGCCGCGGUAAUACGUAGGGUGCAAGCGUUAUCCGGAAUUAUUGGGCGUAAAGGGCUCGUAGGCGGUUCGUCGCGUCCGGUGUGAAAGUCCAUCGCUUAACGGUGGAUCCGCGCCGGGUACGGGCGGG
Molecule: ribosomal RNA, 449 nt
Filed under: uncultured Bifidobacterium sp.
Lineage: Bacteria; Bacillati; Actinomycetota; Actinomycetes; Bifidobacteriales; Bifidobacteriaceae
Description: bacterial SSU rRNA
Rfam family: Bacterial small subunit ribosomal RNA
Source: RNAcentral